AUUGAACGCUGGCGGCAUGCCUUACACAUGCAAGUCGAACGGCAGCACGGGUGCUUGCACCUGGUGGCGAGUGGCGAACGGGUGAGUAAUAUAUCGGAACAUACCCAGUAAUGGGGGAUAACUAUCCGAAAGGAUAGCUAAUACCGCAUACGCCCUAAGGGGGAAAGAGGGGGAUCGCAAGACCUCUUGUUAUUGGAGUGGCCGAUAUCUGAUUAGCUAGUUGGUAGGGUAAAAGCCUACCAAGGCGACGAUCAGUAGCUGGUUUGAGAGAACGACCAGCCACACUGGAACUGAGACACGGUCCAGACUCCUACGGGAGGCAGCAGUGGGGAAUUUUGGACAAUGGGCGCAAGCCUGAUCCAGCAAUGCCGCGUGAGUGAAGAAGGCCCUCGGGUUGUAAAGCUCUUUUGUCAGGGAAGAAAAGGUGAUCUCUAAUACAGGUCACUCAUGACGGUACCUGAAGAAUAAGCACCGGCUAACUACGUGCCAGCAGCCGCGGUAAUACGUAGGGUGCAAGCGUUAAUCGGAAUUACUGGGCGUAAAGCGUGCGCAGGCGGUUAUAUAAGUCAGAUGUGAAAUCCCCGGGCUCAACCUGGGAACUGCAUUUGAGACUGUAUGGCUAGAGUGUGUCAGAGGGGGGUAGAAUUCCACGUGUAGCAGUGAAAUGCGUAGAUAUGUGGAGGAAUACCGAUGGCGAAGGCAGCCCCCUGGGAUAACACUGACGCUCAUGCACGAAAGCGUGGGGAGCAAACAGG
This 755-nucleotide ribosomal RNA is filed under the name uncultured Oxalobacteraceae bacterium. Its description in RNAcentral is "bacterial SSU rRNA". It matches the Rfam family "Bacterial small subunit ribosomal RNA", at positions 28 to 776 of the family's 1533-position model. Lineage: Bacteria; Pseudomonadati; Pseudomonadota; Betaproteobacteria; Burkholderiales; Oxalobacteraceae. The record is from RNAcentral.